Long non-coding RNA from Cyprinus carpio carpio, 860 nucleotides. The record is from Ensembl. NCBI's taxonomy places the organism in Eukaryota, Metazoa, Chordata, Actinopteri, Cypriniformes, Cyprinidae.
ACAGUUGUUAUUGGUAUUGUUUUAUUGAGAAGGUGGUUUAUUAAGAAAUACACCACACAUUAUAUUGUAUUUGUUUUAUUGAGAAAGUGGUUUAAGUAAAACACCACACCAGUGUUAUUUUCGUUAACGAAGAUGACGACGAAAAAUAUUCGUUAACGAACAUUUUUCUGUGACUAAGAUGAGACGUUGACGAGCUAAAAAUAUUAUCUGAUGACGAAAUUAUGAAAAAAUUUAUGCCGCGCCUUCGUUAACUAGACGAGACUGGACUAUAAUGUUAUUUGAGGACUACCGGACAUUCAAAAUGCAUCCUAUAGGCUAUUGUCCUUCAAAAUGUGCGUCCCUGUCAUUGGAUUGCGAUCGGAUAAGGGGUGUUUGCAUAUCUAGUCAGUAUAGCAGCUGCAGUGGAUGGAUAGGCUAAUAAAAUGCGAACUAGCGAUCUGAAACAAUGGCCUCAGCACCCGAAGGGGUAGGGAUAAGGUAAUCAGACGUCCCGUUUUUCCCGGGAGUACGGUGUACAUUUUAGGACAUCCUCAGACCUCAGUCAUUAAAUGAAAAGGCGUCAUGCCUCAGACUAAAAGGCUUCAGUCAUUGGAAAAAACGGCAUCGCGCCUCAGACUGAAAAGCUUCAGAUCUCAGGAAAAAGGACGUCAGGUGUCAGGUCUCAUACAAUUAGGCAUCAGACGAAACGGACUCAGACAAAAAGGCAUCAGACGAAACAGACUCAGGAAAAAAGGCAUCAGACGAAAUGGACUCAGACAAAAAGGCAUCAGACGAAACGGACUAAACUCAGGAAAAAAGGCAUCAGACGAAAUGGACUCAGACAAAAAGGCAUCAGACGAAACGGACUCAGACAAAAAAAG